Triplophysa rosa is the source of this 7280-nucleotide long non-coding RNA. RefSeq lists it as uncharacterized. The transcript is spliced from 6 exons. NCBI's taxonomy places the organism in Eukaryota, Metazoa, Chordata, Actinopteri, Cypriniformes, Nemacheilidae. The record is from RefSeq and is a predicted model, not a curated record.
ACAGUAUAUGCUUACUGGAUAACUUGAACACUGUCCACUGCCCUGGAAAACUUGAAUGCUGUUCUUGUUUGCCUUCUUUUAUGCAGAACUCUUGUUGAACUUUAUAUUGCAAAACUGUGCUGCCUCCCUUUUAUUACAGCUUUGAACAAGAACUAUGUACAGUCUUAGGGCUGUUUUCCUUUAGAAAUCUGUGCUCUCCUCUCUACCCUCUUCAGCUGGUGCUGAAUAUAUUUCAGCAGUAAAGAGGGAUAGCAUACGUGGGGAUGGUUUGAAUUCAUGGCAGCAGAUUUUUCUUCUUUGCAUGUAGCAAACUUCUACCCAGAAGUCCUCUGAAGAGGUAAAAAAAGGACGAUCAUCAAGCCUCGGCUUACUUGAAGUCAGAACAUGUCUUGGUGACAGGAAUUUGAGAGCCUCUAAUUGUUUUAUGUUAUCUGGAAGUCUCUUCCUAAUCUCUUUAGGUAACUCCAGCAUGUAGUUCCUGCACCUACGUUUCAUGUCCUGUUCUGCUUGUUUGCUUAUUCCCUUUGAUUCAAGCAAAGCAAGGCGGUACUGGUCCACUGCAUUGAGGGGCAAAAGGUUCUCAUCAGAAAGGUUAAACUCCAUAAUGUCUUGCCAGUUCUGAAAUGUCUUUGGCAAUGCUAUACAUUCAAGAAGGGACUGGUAAAAUGUCAAAAGUUCUGGAGCUUUGCAGGAUUGGGUUUGUCAAGUUGAAAGAUUUUGUUAAGUCUGUUUAGCUCAGACACAAUCGGUUGGAGGACUUCUAGGUAGAUCAGGUUUAUUUUGUCACUGUACAUUUGGUACAGCAAUUCUGCAGCAUAGCUUCUCUCAUUUUCUUUUGUCAACUGGAAAUGCAACUUAAGCUCGUCUGUGAAAGGAUGCGGUGACACUCACUGAUAGAGAGCCACCUGGUGUCAGAUAGUUGCAGAAGGGUUUUCACCUACGUUUAUGGUUUUGUACAGUUCUGAAUAUUUUUGCUGACGCUGGGUAGCAAUUGAAAACCAGCUGUAGGUCAGAGAAACCAUGUACUCUACAUUUCUGGGCAGGUUGUGUGAGGAUUACGUCACGAAAUUUUAGUUAUGUUGCCCACACAUAGUGUUACAUCCAUCUGUUGCAAGACCUAUGCAGUUAAGUAUGGACAGUUUGUUGUCAUCCAGGACAUUUGCUAUGGUGAGUGAAUCACCUGCUACUAUAUGUAUCAUUCCUGCAAAGGUGCUAAUGAUUUGUGAGAACUUUUUGCUGUAAUAUCUGAUGACUAUGCAUAGUUGUUUUUUGCUUGUGACAUCAGUGCUCUCAUCAACGAUAAGAGAGUACGGUCCACUUCCUAUAUCCUCCAGUAGGUCUUCAUGCAUUACUGGUCCUAUUACUGAAUGAAUUAGCGCUGUGCACUUAGUUCGAUGUAAACUGAUCCCUUUCUUGGAAAUUCCUUCCACAAAGCUUCCUAAAUAAUCAACAGUUAAGGUGCUUGAGUGGCACGCAACAUGAACAGCCAUCUGAAACUCUGCCUCUUUCACUGCAACAUUUGUUCUUUGAAGGGAACAGCCUGUGUCAAAUAAUGUCCUUGAAUUUGAGAAGGGAGCUGCAUUUUUUCUAUGCUCCUCGGUAGCUCCGUGUGCUAUUAGAUCACUGUGGUGAGAUCUAAUUUCACUCUUGCAAUAUUUGCAGAAAGCUUUUUUGUCAUCAUUCGGAACACUUCGAUUCCAUUCCAUUAAACACUUUUCCGUCUCGUAUUUUUUACCAUAUUUUCCCUAUUUACCUGACAUUGUGCACACUUGUUGGUUUUUCAUCCAGGCUGCGCACUAACCAACCGCCGCCUCAAAAAUCCCGGUAAAGGAAAUGCACAUAAUGAUGACGCAAGUCGCAAGGACGUGCCCGUCCCCUCACGUUUGCUGCGUUGGAAAAAUAUCCAAGUGCAGCAUGAAAGCAACCUUUAACUCUUCUUUGUCAACCAUACAGAGAUGGAUGAAGAUGCUGAGCUGGAGAGUGCAGUGCUGAACAUCACCCCCUCUAAGCUACGGGUGCAAUCAUCAUCAUCAUCGGUGUCCUCAGCUGCUGAAGUGAAACACUCCAUGGAAACGGCAACAGGUUUUUAAACAGGUUCAUGAAUUAUGAUAUGAAAUAUUCUCCAAAACUGAAUAUGAAUUGGUGAAAAGUGAAAGUGACCUAUUAGUCAGAUAUGGUGACCCAUACCCGAAAUGUGACCUCUGCAUUUAACCCAUCCAGAGAGUAGUGAACACACGCACAGCAAGUGGUGACCACACGUACACCCGGAGCAGUGGGCAGCUAUCACUGCAGCGCCCAGGGAGCAAGUAGGUGUAAGGUGCCUUGCUCAAGGGCACCUCAGUCGCUACCCUCCGGCUCUGGGAAUCGAACCCGCAACCUUCUGGUCAUGAGUCCGACUCUCUAACCAUUAGGCCACGACUGCCCCCAUUAUUUUGUUUUAAUGUGUCAGUGUGUUGGCCAUGUGUCACUAACAAAUCUGUGUGCUGUUGGCAUUAUACUAACUGUUCAAGGGGCUAUGAAUUGAUUCCUCCAACACGAUGAACUGAUAAAUCCCCAUUCUGGGUAAGUGCUCACUUUUACUGUAAACUUAUAAAUAUUUCUGUUUAAUAAUACACCAAGACGUGCAUGUUGCAAGACUGUUUAGUUUGUAAUGUCUGUGACAUUCUUUGAGAAGGCAUAAUGCAUCCUUUUCAUUCAUUCUGUUAAAGUAAGCAGAUCUCUUAAGAGUAUUUAUAUUAUUAACAAGAUUUGAUGUCUUGCAGAACCAUCUACUGUCCUUUCAAAACCACUUGACUGGCACUAAAAGGAACUGCGUCUGUCUCUUGUGGAUGCACCAGCUGUGCCAGCUGAAAACGCCUGUGCCCCUUCCUAAAGAGCUGAUGUUUCUUGUGCAGGAACCAUCAGCUUCCACACAAACAAAGAAAAGUGUCUCAGCGACAGCGACUGGAAAAGCUCCCCAAAAGGUUUACAAAUGUGCUGCAGCAAUUCUUACUUACAAGAAGGUCAUCUGUAAAUCUGUAAUGGAUGAGCUUCGGCGCCAGAUCUGCACUCAGCAGAACAUCUCAACUGGGAUGCCUGGAGAACUACUGAGGCUAUUAUUGCUGAGGCCACUUCUGGUGAGCUGCAAAACGCAUGUGCAUCAAAGUCUCGCUUCAAUCAGCACAUCACCAUCAAGCUUGAUUUGUUUCACUGCAUGAGGCGCUUUCACCGGGUGUGUGUUUCAGAGCUUCAUGCCUUAUACAGCUCCUUCACCCAGUUCCUGUCUGCUGCUUUCUGUGUGCUGGAUAAAGAAGACCUGCGGAAGCUCAAGAAUGCCUAUGUGUUUUGUGGUAUUCAGCCAGCCAACCCCACCAAGCAGCACAUUCGGGAGCACUGCAGAACAAAGAUUCCUGCGCCUCAAGAACUUCUCAAAAGGGUCGAGGGGCUUAUGCAGCCCUUUCAUUUGGCAGCUGAUCCAAAUGGUGUACCCCUCUUCAAACCCUCUAUGCUGAAGACAUGGCGCAUUCAGCGUGUCCAUAUUUUGAGGGGAUGUCUGAGUGAUCCUGAAGUAGCAGGUGAGAUCCUGUAUAGGCAUGGUGGGAGCUAAAGUUGAUGUCUGGAUGCCAAUAAGUGGCACAUCACAGCAGGAGGGCUACCACUUCCACCAGGCUCACUGGGUCACCGGCACACGCGUUUCCUCAGAGCUGUUUCAAGCCCAGGGGAUGAUCGGAGUGGCACGCUGGAACUUUCAGGGCCUGGUGGACCAGAAACCACCAGGUGUUUGGCUUCCUGGCGUAUUUGAUCCAUCCCUGAUCGCAGAUCUCAAUACUGCGUGAGUAAGGGUGUUAGGAAUGCCUAAGUAUCCUGCCCUUCUAUAGUGUCCAGGAAGGAUUCUGUGGAGAUGUUUGGGCUAGAGUAUGUGGAACCUGGAUGUUGCCCUGUUGUGCUGGAUUGGGAAUAGCACAAGAGCAAAACUGCUCUGCCUUUAGAUCCUCCUGAGCAAAGCAGACCAUCCACUGCCAGGGCUGGAUACCUUUCAGCUGAUCUUGAUCCGCAGCCAGAGUCAGGAUCCGUUACCACUUUGCCCGCGCCCUUGCUGUCCUCAUGCCAUGGUGCUGAUGUGGAGCUUCAGCCUGAGCCAGGUAAACAUUUCACAGAUGAACAGUGUCACGCUUAAAAUGCCCUUUUUCUUUAUACAUAAAACUAAAUACUUGCUACAAGAAGAAGGAUAUGCUUAAACUUGUGGAUCAGGAGUAUGCAGCAGUGGUCCAUAACUCCAGUACUGAUCCCAACAGCAUGCUCCAUCCGACUACAAAACUUCUUAUAGAUCGGUAUGUUAAGCACUUGGCCAAACUGCAAAACACCUGUUCUUCACUAAAUGCUUCUCAUGAAAAACUUCUUCAGACACAGCGACUCUGGCACUCUCUGACAGAGGGAAGCGAGACUACUAGUGUGCCAGUGGUUACAAUUAAUCCUGCAGUUGUAAACCCACCAGCACCUGCUCUGACCACACCCCUUACUCACGAAACCAUUGAGAGGGUCGUUGAGGGUAUUAUGGAGAAGCAUCAACAGCCAGAACAGAAAAAGAAACAGACGAAUACUUGUGACUUGUAAUGAGUGAUGGCUCCUCCAUCCAUUUUUUUGUCAGCAAGGUCCUGUUAGGUACUUCUACUGUUCCACUAAGGUUUUCAAGGCUUGUAGUGGUGAAGGACUGACAAACCCCAGAAUGCCUUGUAAAGAAUUUAUGGAAACCAAGUUCUUCCAGAGAGAACUGGAUGCCCCAAAAUAACGAGUAGAGGAGAAGGGACAGCAAAAGAAAAAAGCCUGAAUCUCAGCAUGUAGAUUGCCUGUGUUGUUCUGUAAAAUGGAACUCAAACAGUCCACACAUACACACAGGCGUUCCUGGAAUGGCCGGGAAAUAUGUUUAUUGUCCUGCUAAGGUCUUUUCCACUUACAGAGAGCAGGGUAUGGAGAAGGAGAUUAUCUGGAAAGAGUUUCAGAAGUCUCCAUUUUACAACAUGGAAAGACAGAGAUGGGUUUCAGAAAAAAAAGAGUAGUGAACACACGUACCCCCGGAGCAGUGGGCAGCUAUCACUGCAGCGCCCGGGGAGCAAGUAGGGGUAAGGUGCCUUGCUCAAGGGCACCUCAGUUGUUACCCGCCGGCCCUGGGAAUCGAACCAGCAACCUUCUGGUCAUGAGUCCGACUCUCUAACCAUUAGGCCACGACUGCCCCUUUUAUCUGUUUCUUCUUACAUUGUUUAUGUGGGUUUGUUAAAUUGUGCAAACAAUAAUGUGUUUUUAUAUGUUUAAGGUGAUUAACAGAUGUCAUGUUGUGCAUUGAUGUUAUAAUGUAGUAAAGAAUGUAGUGCAUUGUACAAUUUGUCAAAACGUGUAAAAUUUGUCAUUUAAUAUAACAUUUACCAGGUCGUGGUAUGACGAAGGCUGUUUGAUUGUACUAGACGGAAUAGUUUUCUAUAUCUCAUGCUUGUACUUUUCCGUUAAUUUUCUUAAGUAGCAUAUGUGUGUGUGAUUUAAAGUUCUAAAAAUCUCAAAUGCAAUUUUUUGAUAACAUGUUUUAGUGAUUUCUCAGAGAGUUAAAGGAGUAAUCAUCAUAAAGCCUACAAUACGACCCAGAAUUCGCCCCACAUAAAUUUAUGGUCACUGGCCGCAACUGGUUAUGUGGCUCUUUUAGAUCAAUGUGAGGAAUGCAAGAAAUUCACUCAAUGUUUACAUUGAUUCUUUUGUUGGGAGAACAUUUUAAAAUCAGAUUUCUUACAGUGUACUAAAAAGUGGAUUAUGACUUUAAGAAUAAUUUCACAAAUGCCUCAUGAUGUUCAAUAAAAUGUAAACACAUUUUAAAUGUAGUCUGUGAUCCAAAAACUUCAGAAUUGUAUCCAAUCAUAAUUCAAUUUGCCAUUUUUGUACCAUGUCUUGAGCCCUCUUCAUUUGUUUAUCAUGUUGGCCAAAAGGUUUUUAAAGAAUGAAGAGACAAAGUUGCCUUUGGAGACAACAAAAUCUCAUUGGCCAUACAGUAUGUAUUUAAACGAUUGACUUUGUCUAAACUCUGUGUCAUUAAACUUCCUCUAGCAUCAAGAUGAUCAGUGAAAUGCAGAGAUGCAGGACUAUAGUGUAAUGUACAGCAGGAUGACAAAUGUCUUCAGUACACAAAUUAUUGAAUAAUACAUACAACAUUUUUUUAACAACAUAAAUACAGCCAGAGGAAAUAAGAAAAACACAUAAAAAAGAAAGAAAAAAGAAAAACACGGUGCAAUUCAAAUAUCCAUUUCAAACUUGUAUACAAUAUUUGAAGUCCUGCAAGCCUUUCCACCCAUGCAACAUACCACAGUAUUGUUUAAAUUCGUUGAUGAAUUGAAAGAAAUUAGGCUUACCACCUGACCAUUUCAUUUUAUGCAUAUGAAACUUUCCCGUUAAAACUAUUAGUUGAAUGAUAUAUGCUUUAUCCUUUUCUAUCCCUCAAUCAUUAACAUAUAACAUUAUAUCCGACCCACUGAGUUUAACAGCAACAUCAAAUUCUCUACAUCAACCCAAAAUAUAUAAAUGCAAUGAAAUAAUAAAUGAAAUAUUGUUUCCUUUUCCUUAUUACAGAAUUCAGAUGAAUAGUCAAUAUUUAAUUUAAAACGUUCCAAAACAUGUUUUACUGGAUAGAUUAUGUGCAAUAUUUUAUAAGAAAUUUCCUUUACUUUGUUAUUAACAAAGAAUUUAUUAACUAUUCUCCAAGCUAUAUGUAACACUUCCGUUGGUCCCUAGUCCUGUUUUCCCCGUUUUUGCCCAAGGACGUUACGUUUGCCACGCUCCCUCACCCAUCCCUCAUUGACAUUUGCACCUGUUCAUCAUCAUUGACUGUCACCUGCACCCCAUCAUCCUCCUUAUCCGGACACCAUAUGUACUCUCCUUUGCCUGUUGUGUUUUGUCAGGUCUUGUUGUAAGUUUGUCAAGUUGUAGUUAGGCUUUACCUUGUGCUGUGGGUGUUUUCUCAUGUUUGUAUCUUUCUGUGGAUUACCUACCUUUUGGAUAUUCUUGGGUUUUUUUGCACUUUUUUUACCUUGUGGAUUAUUAUUUUUGUGGAUUACCCUUUUGUUCCUGGUUCCUGCUUGUUUUAUUAAACCAUUUUUCCUUCACUCACCACCUGUGGCAUCGUCCUUCAUUCGUGAACUGUUAAACUUUACGCCAAUUCAAAUCUCCAAAUAUCGAUGACCAAGAAAAUCUUGCUGAGGGCUAUGUAACAGUAUUUAUUUAUAUUUGAAGAUAUUAGUAUUUCCAAUAAAAUGUUUAUUGUUUGU